AGCUAACGCGUUAAGUAGACCGCCUGGGGAGUACGGUCGCAAGAUUAAAACUCAAAUGAAUUGACGGGGGCCCGCACAAGCGGUGGAGCAUGUGGUUUAAUUCGAUGCAACGCGAAGAACCUUACCUACUCUUGACAUCCAGAGAACUUUCCAGAGAUGGAUUGGUGCCUUCGGGAACUCUGAGACAGGUGCUGCAUGGCUGUCGUCAGCUCGUGUUGUGAAAUGUUGGGUUAAGUCCCGCAACGAGCGCAACCCUUAUCCUUGUUUGCCAGCGAGUAAUGUCGGGAACUCCAGGGAGACUGCCGGUGAUAAACCGGAGGAAGGUGGGGACGACGUCAAGUCAUCAUGGCCCUUACGAGUAGGGCUACACACGUGCUACAAUGGCGCAUACAGAGGGCGGCCAACUUGCGAAAGUGAGCGAAUCCCAAAAAGUGCGUCGUAGUCCGGAUUGGAGUCUGCAACUCGACUCCAUGAAGUCGGAAUCGCUAGUAAUCGUGGAUCAGAAUGCCACGGUGAAUACGUUCCCGGGCCUUGUACACACCGCCCGUCACACCAUGGGNNNNGGCUGCAAAAGAAGUAGGUAGUUAACCUUCGGGGGGAC
This 601-nucleotide ribosomal RNA is filed under the name Vibrio parahaemolyticus. Its description in RNAcentral is "bacterial SSU rRNA". It matches the Rfam family "Bacterial small subunit ribosomal RNA", at positions 850 to 1450 of the family's 1533-position model. Lineage: Bacteria; Pseudomonadati; Pseudomonadota; Gammaproteobacteria; Vibrionales; Vibrionaceae. The record is from RNAcentral.